This 411-nucleotide ribosomal RNA is filed under the name Actinomycetes bacterium. Its description in RNAcentral is "Actinobacteria bacterium partial 16S ribosomal RNA". It matches the Rfam family "Bacterial small subunit ribosomal RNA", at positions 355 to 776 of the family's 1533-position model. The record is from RNAcentral. Lineage: Bacteria; Bacillati; Actinomycetota; Actinomycetes.
UGGGGAAUAUUGCACAAUGGGCGCAAGCCUGAUGCAGCGACGCCGCGUGGGGGAUGACGGCCUUCCGGUUGUAAACUCCUUUCGCUAGGGACGAAGCUUUUUGUGACGGUACCUAGAUAAGAAGCACCGGCUAACUACGUGCCAGCAGCCGCGGUAAUACGUAGGGUGCGAGCGUUGUCCGGAAUUACUGGGCGUAAAGGGCUCGUAGGUGGUUUGUCGCGUCGUCUGUGAAAUUCCGGGGCUUAACUCCGGGCGUGCAGGCGAUACGGGCAUAACUUGAGUACGGUAGGGGUAACUGGAAUUCCUGGUGUAGCGGUGAAAUGCGCAGAUAUCAGGAGGAACACCGAUGGCGAAGGCAGGUUACUGGGCAGUUACUGACGCUGAGGAGCGAAAGCAUGGGUAGCGAACAGG